CCCUUAGAUGUCCUGGGCUGCACGCGCGCUACACUGAUGUGUCCAGUAAGCACCUAACCUAUUCCGAGAGGAGCGGGUAACCUUAGCAAAGCACAUCGUGAUGGGGAUAGAUUAUUGCAAUUAUUAGUCUUGAACGAGGAAUUCCUAGUAAGCACAAGUCAUCAGCUUGUGUUGAUUACGUCCCUGCCCUUUGUACACACCGCCCGUCGCUCCUACCGAUUGAAUGUUCCGGUGAGCUCUUCGGACCGCGCGGUCUGCAGUUUCUGCGUUCCGUGCGGAAAGUUGUGCAAACCUUAACAUUUAGAGGAAGGAGAAGUCGUAACA
Molecule: ribosomal RNA, 324 nt
Filed under: uncultured eukaryote
Lineage: Eukaryota
Description: partial 18S ribosomal RNA
Rfam family: Eukaryotic small subunit ribosomal RNA
Source: RNAcentral